CAAUUCUCAACUGUGCUCCCCGCGGGGGGGGGCACGGCUUGGACUUGGGAGCUGCUGGCGUCGCGAGACGUCGGCUCUCCUCAAACGCAUUAGCGGACCAGCGUGUUCCAGACGUGCACGGCCUCGUUCGACGUGAUAACGAUCGUCGUCGGGCUGGAGCGUCCAGACGAGCCUCUGCUUCCAACCUGGCCAGCUCGGCUACUAGCCCCCCUGCGGCCUCGCA
This 223-nucleotide unclassified non-coding RNA is filed under the name uncultured Strobilomyces. RNAcentral's name for it is "sequence contains ITS2". The record is from RNAcentral. Lineage: Eukaryota; Fungi; Basidiomycota; Agaricomycetes; Boletales; Boletaceae.